This 252-nucleotide ribosomal RNA is filed under the name Megasphaera elsdenii DSM 20460. RNAcentral's name for it is "partial 16S ribosomal RNA". It matches the Rfam family "Bacterial small subunit ribosomal RNA", at positions 524 to 776 of the family's 1533-position model. Lineage: Bacteria; Bacillati; Bacillota; Negativicutes; Veillonellales; Veillonellaceae. The record is from RNAcentral.
UACGUGGGUGGCAAGCGUUGUCCGGAAUUAUUGGGCGUAAAGGGCGCGCAGGCGGCGUCGUAAGUCGGUCUUAAAAGUGCGGGGCUUAACCCCGUGAGGGGACCGAAACUGCGAUGCUAGAGUAUCGGAGAGGAAAGCGGAAUUCCUAGUGUAGCGGUGAAAUGCGUAGAUAUUAGGAGGAACCCCAGUGGCGAAAGCGGCUUUCUGGACGACAACUGACGCUGAGGCGCGAAAGCCAGGGGAGCAAACGGG